UCUCUGCCAUCGCUUCUGAGAUACCAUAUUCUUGUAGGUCAUCCAUGGAAGAACCAAAGGAAAAAGAGCGGACAUCGGCUGAUCGUUGUUCUUUAUCUGCAGGCUUUCUAGCUGCAGCAGUUGAAACCAUUGCUUAUAUGCAAAGAGUUGGGAUGCUUGUCUGAAGAAAAGCUCAACUAUAUGCUCCUUCUCAGCAUAAGCUCGCUUUGCUGCAAUCUCGGCUUCCCUAGCACGGGUUUGAGAAUGUAGCAACGCAUCCAUUAGUUCAGCUUUGCUAGUAUUAUCCUCGGAAGUUGGCAUUGUUUUUGUCAAGUUGUUGGGAUUUGUACAGCUCGAAGAUUUAUGAGACCCACGCAGCGAGUUCCCUUGUUCAAUUGAUUCACCCAGGUCUCUCUGUGUUCUGCCAAAACGACAAAAAUCUGAUCCACAAUUUCGGUGCGUUGACUCGAAGGUAGCAACCAAAUUUGUAUCAUGCUCAUAGUGUUGUUUUUUAGCAUAAGGGUAUCUCUUAAAGUUCAAGCAAGUUUUUUUAGGAGGCGGAAGAUCACAAUUCUCGAUAUGAUCAAGAGAUUUCUGUGCAACCCAAUAGGCCAAUUCAUCUUUAUCCGUUAUCCACCACCAUGGCUCAGCCUUGUCCUCUUGAAUCCAAGGAGAAUCUGGAUCGAAGUAAAACUCAUCUUGGUUUUUGGAAACUGUUUUGCUGUGGAAAGAAUCCUUAUCUAAACAUUCGAAGUCUGCUUUCAUAUCUACACUACCAAUACAUUCUUG
Molecule: unclassified non-coding RNA, 768 nt
Filed under: Hevea brasiliensis (rubber tree)
Lineage: Eukaryota; Viridiplantae; Streptophyta; Magnoliopsida; Malpighiales; Euphorbiaceae
Source: RNAcentral